This 436-nucleotide ribosomal RNA is filed under the name uncultured bacterium. RNAcentral's name for it is "partial 16S ribosomal RNA". It matches the Rfam family "Bacterial small subunit ribosomal RNA", at positions 28 to 507 of the family's 1533-position model. The record is from RNAcentral.
GAUGAACGCUGGCGGUCUGCUUAACACAUGCAAGUCGAACGGGCACUUUCGGGAGCUAGUGGCGGACGGGUGAGUAAAGCGGGAGAAUAUGCGCGUUGGAGGGGGAUAACGGUUUGAGACGACCUCUAAUAACCCAGGUUACGAGAGGAAAGAAGUAAUUCGCCAAGGGAUGGGCUCGCAUCGUAUUAGCUAGUUGGUGUGGUAAGAGCCCACCAAGGCGACGAUCCGUAGCUGGUCUGAGAGGAGGACCCGCCACACUGCGACUGAGAGACGGCCCCGACUCCUACGGGCGGCAGCAGUGAGGAAUGUUCAGCAAUGGGCGCACGCCUGACGGAGCAAGACGGCGUGAGGGAAGACGGUCUGUGUAUUGUAAGCCUCUUUUGACAGCGAAGAAGUACUGACGGUACCUGUUGAAUCAGCCUCGGCUAACUCCGUG